AGCUAAUAGAUACCCGGGUAGUCCACGCCCUAAACGAUGUCUACUAGUUGUUGGUGGAGUAAAAUCCAUGAGUAAACGCAGCUAAACGCGUGAAGUAGACCGCCUGGGGAGUACGGUCGCAAGAUUAAAAACUCAAAGGAAUUGACGGGGGCCCGCACAAGCGGUGGAUUAUGUGGAUUAAAUUCGAUGCAACGCGAAAAACCUUACCUGGCCUUGACAUGCCACUAACGAAGCAGAGAUGCAUUAGGUGCCCGUAAGGGAAAGUGGACACAGGUGCUGCAUGGCUGUCGUCAGCUCGUGUCGUGAGAUGUUGGGUUAAGUCCCGCAACGAGCGCAACCCUUGCCAUUAAUUGCCAUCAUUUAGUUGGGCACUUUAAUGGGACUGCCGGUGACAAACCGGAGGAAGGUGGGGAUGACGUCAAGUCCUCAUGGCCCUUAUGGCCAGGGCUUCACACGGUAAUACAAUGGUCGGUACAGAGAGUUGCCAACCCGCGAGGGGGUAGCUAAUCUCAGAAAGCCGAUCGUAGUCCGGAUUGUUCUCUGC
This 544-nucleotide ribosomal RNA is filed under the name uncultured bacterium. RNAcentral describes it as "bacterial SSU rRNA". It matches the Rfam family "Bacterial small subunit ribosomal RNA", at positions 767 to 1308 of the family's 1533-position model. The record is from RNAcentral.